AGGACAAACGCUGGCGGGGUGCAUGAGACAUGCAAGUCGAACGAGGUGCCAUCGGGCUUGCUCGAUGGUUACCUAGUGGCGGACGGCUGAGUAACGCGUAGGUGACCUACCCGGAAGUGGGGAAUAACUGCCCGAAAGGGUGGCUAAUACCGCAUGUGGUCGGCGAUUCGAUUCGCCGUCUAAAGGAGAAAUCCGCUUCCGGCGGGGCCUGCGUCCGAUUAGCUAGUUGGUGGGGUAACGGCUCACCAAGGCGACGAUCGGUAGCUGGUCUGAGAGGAUGAUCAGCCAGACUGGGACUGAGAACGGCCCAGACUCCUACGGGAGGCAGCAGUCGGGAAUUUUUGCCCAAUGGACGAAAGUCUGAGGCAGCAACUCCGCGUGAGGGAUGAAGGCUCUCGGGUCGUAAACCUCUUUUUCUCAGGGAAGAUCCAAGACGGUACCUGAGGAAUAAGCGACGGCUAACUACGUGCCAGCAGCCGC
RNAcentral lists this ribosomal RNA (480 nucleotides) under uncultured bacterium. Its description in RNAcentral is "SSU rRNA". It matches the Rfam family "Bacterial small subunit ribosomal RNA", at positions 26 to 518 of the family's 1533-position model. The record is from RNAcentral.